GGUCAAGUUAUUAAGGGUUUACGGUGGAUGCCUUGGGACCAAGAGCCGAAGAAGGGCGUGGUAAGACUACGAUAAGCCUCGAUCAGCUGUCUAACAAGCUUAGUCGAGGGUUCCCGAAUGGGGAAACCCGUUCUGGGUUAUACCAGAACAUUCCGCAAGGAAAGGUAAGUGUGUGAACUGAAACAUCUAAGUAACAUGAGGAAAAGAAAUUAAAGAGAUUCCCUUAGUAGUGGCGAACGAAAUGGGAAUAGCCCAAACCGGUAGGGCUUAGUGGGUUGAGGCCCUAUGUCCUUCCGGGGUUGUAACGCAUUCUAGUUUUCUCCUCAAAGAAAACAAGGAGUUACAAAAUCUUUUUUUAAUCGAACGUACCUGGAAAGGUCGAUCAUAGAAGGUGAUAAUCCUGUAGAUGAAAAGAAAAGAUCUCCUAGAGUGUUGUUGAGUACCACGGGACACGAGAAAUCUUGUGGGAACCUGGGGAGACCACUCUCCAAGGCUAAAUACUCUUGGUCACCGAUAGUGAACCAGUACUGUGAAGGAAAGGUGAAAAGUACCCCGGGAGGGGAGUGAAAUAGACCUGAAACCGUAAACUUACAAGCCGUAGGAGACUCGAUGCGUCGAGUUGACUGCGUGCCUAUUGAAGAAUGAGCCGCCGAGUUAAUUUAUACAGCACGGUUAAGGAAUUGGAAUUCCGGAGCCCCAGCGAAAGCGAGUCCUAAUAGGGCGUUUAGUUGUAUGGAUUAGACCCGAAACCGAGUGAGCUACCCAUGGCCAGGUUGAAGCCCAGAUAGUCUCUGGGUGAAGGACCGAACCCGUGUAUGGUACAAAAUGCUGGGAUGAGCUGUGGGUAGGGGUAAAAUGCCAAUCGAACUCGGAGAUAGCUGGUUCUCCCCGAAAUGUAUUUAGGUACAGCGUUUAGAUAUAGUCUUAUGGAGG
RNAcentral lists this ribosomal RNA (933 nucleotides) under Chloroflexota bacterium. RNAcentral describes it as "bacterial LSU rRNA". It matches the Rfam family "Bacterial large subunit ribosomal RNA", at positions 1 to 902 of the family's 2925-position model. Lineage: Bacteria; Bacillati; Chloroflexota. The record is from RNAcentral.